UCCUUGUUGAUAAAAACACAACACAAUAGCCGGCGUGAGCGCGCACACGAGCACGCGUCCGCAAUGGGGAAACCUUGGUUACGUACAAAGACGAGCGCGAGCCGUCCACCUGCCGCGCGCAAAGCCUGGAUCAACAGGAGCCUCCAGGAGACCGAGAGUAGCAGGACAAAUCAGAAAAACUGGAUGCCUAUUAGUCUAUUCAGCAGGUUGUAGCGACAAGCUGAACAGGUGGUGUCUGGGAAAGAGGUGAUCACCGACAAUUUCCCUGGUCCUGUAGAGGCAAAAAGAGAUGGCGAUGUCGUCCAGGGAUGGCAGAGGCCAACUAGUCUUUUCAGCUGACCGCAUAACCCUCUGCAGCUGUUUCUUGUCAGGUGCUAUGCAGCCAGAAUACCACAUGUUGAUGGGGUGCGCCAGCAUACUCUCAAUGGCGUAACAGUAGAAGGUCACCAGCAGCCUCUACUCCAGUGUGUUCCCUCUCCUGAGUAUUUUCAGGAAGUGGAGUCAUUUGCGGGCCUUCCCCAUCACUGCUGCGGUGUUGGCUGAUGGGGAUAUGUCCUCGGAGAUGCGAGUCUCAGUGAAUUUAAGCCCUCUUUACUGUCACCGUCAGUAGGAUAAGGGGUAUAUAAAAUAACAUUUUAUAAAAAGGAAUCAAAAAUGAAAAUAUUAAUAAAAAUAUUCAAAUCAAAUACUUGUAUAAACAGCCUAAUUUAACUUUUCUUUACCCUGUAGGCCUACAAAUCACUAUCAUAACAACAUAUCACAAUCUUUAAACAUCAUCUUUUUUAUGAUCAACUAACUUACCCCAAGGGAAAAAUAAACAGUUAAAGAAAAAACAGAACUAAGGACAGAACAGGAAAAAAAAGAAACUUCCGUAUGUUAGACAUAUUUGGAUUCAUCUUAUUCGGAGUAGUAUAAAUAACUCAGUCUGAGUUGGGUAUUUAUUGUUAGGAGUUGAGAAUUUGAGCACACUUCUCUUCAGUCUUUGUUAGACAUCUUUUUCCUAGUCAUUUACCCAUUGAGUUUUUCUGUGUUCAGUUAUGUUUCUUUUUUUUUAGAGUAAGGAUAUCUGACCCUUGCACAUUAGUUUUUCACUGCUAAGUUUUUCGAAUAUCGCCAAAGGGGGUGGUAUAUAGGAGGCUGUUUGUCCUUAACUGUAAAUAUUAAAAUCAGAGGUAUAUUAUAUUAAUUUCUAAGUUCUUCAAAUGAAACUAGUUUGCCUUCCUUAUAUACACUGAACAAAAAUAUAAACACAAAUCUGUCUAAAUCUGCGUUAGUGAGCACUUUUGCUGAAAUAGUCUGUCUCACCACAUAGGUGUGGCAUAUCAAGAUGUUGAUUAGGCAGCAUGAAUAUUGCACAGGUGUGUCUUAUGGCCCCUCUGAAAUGUUCAGUUUUAUCACACAGCACGAUGCCACAGAUGUCGCAAGCUUUGAGGAAGCCUGCAAUUGGCAUCCUGACUGCAGGAACGUCCACCGGAGCUGUUGACUGUGAACUGAAUGUUUGUUUCUCUACCAUAAGCCAUCUCCUUCAGAGAAAUUGGCAGUACAUCCAACCUGCCUCACAACCGCAGACCACGUGCAACCACACCAGCCCAGGACCUCCACAUCCAGCAUGUUCCCUUCCAUGAUCCUCUAAGACCAGCCACCUGGACAGCUGCUGCAACAAUCGGAUUGCACAACCAAAGAAUUUCUCCAGAAACUGUCAGAAACUGUCUCAGGGAAGCUCAUCUGCAUGCUCGUCGUCCUCGCUGACUUGAGUGGGCUAAUGCUCACAUUCAAUGGUGUCUGGCACCUUGGAGAGGUGUUCUUUUCACAGAUGAAUCCCGGUUUUCGCUGUUCAGGGCAGACGGCAGACAGUGUGUGUGGCGUCGUGUGGUCGAUGUCACAUGUUGUGGAUGCAGUGGCCCAUGGUGGCAGUGGGGUUAUGGUAUGGGCAGGCCUAUGUUAUGGACAACGAACACAGGUGCGCUUCAUUGAUGGCAUUUUGAAUGCACAGAGAUACUGUGACGAGAUCCUGACUCACCCACGACCAUCACCUCAUGUUGCAGCAUGAUAAUGCACGGCCCCAUGUUGCAAGGAUCUGUACACAAUUCCCGGAAGCUGAAAACAUCCCAGUUCUCGCACAGCCAGCAUACUCAGCAGACAUGUCACCCCACUGAGCAUGUUUGGGAUGCUCUGGAUCGGCAGUUCCUGCCAAUAUCCAGCAACUUCUCACAGCCAUUAAAGAGGAGUGGACCAACAUUCCACAGGCCGCAAUCAACAACCUCAUCAGCUCUGCGCAAAGG
This is a long non-coding RNA of Mugil cephalus (flathead mullet), 2282 nucleotides long. RefSeq lists it as uncharacterized. The record is from RefSeq and is a predicted model, not a curated record. The transcript is spliced from 3 exons. Lineage: Eukaryota; Metazoa; Chordata; Actinopteri; Mugiliformes; Mugilidae.